Molecule: ribosomal RNA, 425 nt
Filed under: uncultured bacterium
Lineage: Bacteria
Description: bacterial SSU rRNA
Rfam family: Bacterial small subunit ribosomal RNA
Source: RNAcentral
GUGGGGAAUAUUGGACAAUGGGGGCAACCCUGAUCCAGCAAUGCCGCGUGAGUGAUGAAGGCCUUCGGGUUGUAAAGCUCUUUUGCCAGGGACGAUGAUGACGGUACCUGGAGAAUAAGCCCCGGCUAACUUCGUGCCAGCAGCCGCGGUAAUACGAAGGGGGCAAGCGUUGUUCGGAAUUACUGGGCGUAAAGGGCGCGUAGGCGGUCUAUCAAGUCAGGCGUGAAAUUCCCGGGCUCAACCUGGGGGCUGCGCUUGAUACUGAUGGACUUGAAUGCGGGAGAGGAUAGUGGAAUUCCCAGUGUAGAGGUGAAAUUCGUAGAUAUUGGGAAGAACACCAGUGGCGAAGGCGGCUAUCUGGCCCGUGAUUGACGCUGAGGCGCGAAAGCGUGGGGAGCAAACAGGAUUAGAUACCCGAGUAGUCC